CGAAAACAAAAAGCAAUUUCUAGUUAAGCCUUUCUCCUGUUUCUCCUGAAUCAGGCCAGUUUCCAUGGUUCUGGAUAAAUAGAAUAGGGAAAUUUUUGUUGAGUAUAGAAGCCACUCCAUGGGUGGAAUUUGUUUCAUAAUUUGAUACAAAUUUAGGAUGUUGAACAAAGC
Long non-coding RNA from Bradysia coprophila, 171 nucleotides. NCBI's taxonomy places the organism in Eukaryota, Metazoa, Arthropoda, Insecta, Diptera, Sciaridae. The record is from RefSeq and is a predicted model, not a curated record.